Molecule: ribosomal RNA, 507 nt
Filed under: uncultured Glomeraceae
Lineage: Eukaryota; Fungi; Glomeromycota; Glomeromycetes; Glomerales; Glomeraceae
Description: SSU rRNA
Rfam family: Eukaryotic small subunit ribosomal RNA
Source: RNAcentral
AGCAGCCGCGGUAAUUCCAGCUCCAAUAGCGUAUAUUAAAGUUGUUGCAGUUAAAAAGCUCGUAGUUGAAUUUCGGGAUCAAGGAAUCGGUCAUGCCUUGGUAUGUACUGGUUUUAUUGGUUCUCACCUUCUAAAGAACCAUAAUGUCAUUCAUUUGAUGUUAUGGGGAAUUAGGACUGUUACCUUGAAAAAUUAGAGUGUUUAAAGCAAGCUAACGCUUGAAUACAUUAGCAUGGAAUAAUGAAAUAGGACGUUCGAUCCUAUUUUGUUGGUUUCUAGGAUUGACGUAAUGAUUAAUAGGGAUAGUUGGGGGCAUUAGUAUUCAAUUGUCAGAGGUGAAAUUCUUGGAUUUAUUGAAGGCUAACUACUGCGAAAGCAUUUGCCAAGGAUGUUUUCAUUAAUCAAGAACGAAAGUUAGGGGGAUCGAAGACGAUCAGAUACCGUCGUAGUCUUAACCAUAAACUAUGCUGACUAGGGAUCGGAUGAUGUUAAUUUUUAAUGUACUCA